GGACCGACGGGAGCUUGCUCCCUUAGGUCAGCGGCGGACGGGUGAGUAACACGUGGGUAACCUGCCUGUAAGACUGGGAUAACUCCGGGAAACCGGGGCUAAUACCGGAUGCUUGAUUGAACCGCAUGGUUCAAUCAUAAAAGGUGGCUUUUAGCUACCACUUGCAGAUGGACCCGCGGCGCAUGAGCUAGUUGGUGAGGUAACGGCUCACCAAGGCGACGAUGCGUAGCCGACCUGAGAGGGUGAUCGGCCACACUGGGACUGAGACACGGCCCAGACUCCUACGGGAGGCAGCAGUAGGGAAUCUUCCGCAAUGGACGAAAGUCUGACGGAGCAACGCCGCGUGAGUGAUGAAGGUUUUCGGAUCGUAAAACUCUGUUGUUAGGGAAGAACAAGUACCGUUCGAAUAGGGCGGUACCUUGACGGUACCUAACCAGAAAGCCACGGCUAACUACGUGCCAGCAGCCGCGGUAAUACGUAGGUGGCAAGCGUUGUCCGGAAUUAUUGGGCGUAAAGCGCGCGCAGGCGGUUUCUUAAGUCUGAUGUGAAAGCCCCCGGCUCAACCGGGGAGGGUCAUUGGAAACUGGGGAACUUGAGUGCAGAAGAGGAGAGUGGAAUUCCACGUGUAGCGGUGAAAUGCGUAGAGAUGUGGAGGAACACCAGUGGCGAAGGCGACUCUCUGGUCUGUAACUGACGCUGAGGCGCGAA
RNAcentral lists this ribosomal RNA (708 nucleotides) under uncultured Bacilli bacterium. RNAcentral describes it as "bacterial SSU rRNA". It matches the Rfam family "Bacterial small subunit ribosomal RNA", at positions 68 to 757 of the family's 1533-position model. The record is from RNAcentral. Lineage: Bacteria; Bacillati; Bacillota; Bacilli.